ACCAUUCUUUUGUUGGGUUUGUGCUACUGUCCAAUGAGCGCAUAGUGAGGGCAAUACUGCUAACACCUACCAAAAAAAAAGGCAAAAAUAAACAUGAAAAA
This is a small nuclear RNA of Cercocebus atys (sooty mangabey), 101 nucleotides long. The record is from Ensembl. NCBI's taxonomy places the organism in Eukaryota, Metazoa, Chordata, Mammalia, Primates, Cercopithecidae.